CUGGCGGCAGGCCUAACACAUGCAAGUCGAGCGCUCACUUCGGUGGGAGCGGCGGACGGGUUAGUAACGCGUGGGAAUAUACCCGGUACUAAGGAAUAGCCUUUGGAAACGAAGAGUAAUACCUUAUACGCCCUUCGGGGGAAAGAUUUAUCGGUAUCGGAUUAGCCCGCGUAAGAUUAGAUAGUUGGUGGGGUAAUGGCCUACCAAGUCUACGAUCUUUAGCUGGUUUUAGAGGAUGAUCAGCAACACUGGGACUGAGACACGGCCCAGACUCCUACGGGAGGCAGCAGUGGGGAAUCUUAGACAAUGGGCGCAAGCCUGAUCUAGCCAUGCCGCGUGAGUGAAGAAGGCCUUAGGGUCGUAAAACUCUUUCGCCAGAGAUGAUAAUGACAGUAUCUGGUAAAGAAACCCCGGCUAACUCCGUGCCAGCAGCCGCGGUAAUACGGAGGGGGUUAGCGUUGUUCGGAAUUACUGGGCGUAAAGCGCACGUAGGCGGACUGGAAAGUUGGGGGUGAAAUCCCGGGGCUCAACCUCGGAACUGCCUCCAAAACUAUCAGUCUAGAGUUCGAGAGAGGUGAGUGGAAUUCCAAGUGUAGAGGUGAAAUUCGUAGAUAUUUGGAGGAACACCAGUGGCGAAGGCGGCUCACUGGCUCGAUACUGACGCUGAGGUGCGAAAGUGUGGGGAGCAAACAGGAUUAGAUACCCUGGUAGUCCACACCGUAAACGAUGAA
RNAcentral lists this ribosomal RNA (731 nucleotides) under uncultured marine bacterium. RNAcentral's name for it is "bacterial SSU rRNA". It matches the Rfam family "Bacterial small subunit ribosomal RNA", at positions 36 to 813 of the family's 1533-position model. The record is from RNAcentral.